This 386-nucleotide unclassified non-coding RNA is filed under the name plant metagenome. Its description in RNAcentral is "partial contains small subunit ribosomal RNA, internal transcribed spacer 1, and 5.8S ribosomal RNA". The record is from RNAcentral.
UUUCCGUAGGUGAACCUGCGGAAGGAUCAUUAACAAAAAGGUGCGUGAGAUGGGAGGGAAGGGGAGAGGGAGGGACAGGGGGAAGGGAGAGAGGAAAAGAGGGAUUGCGCAGCAGCGCGAUUUCUCGUUCUCUCUCCUUUGCUCCUUCUCGCUCUCUCGCCUCAUUUCUCUCGUUUCCGCGACAUUUGCGCCUUGGUCGGACCGACCAAAGGUCGGGGGAGUGGGGAUGGGAGAAAAAGUGGAUUCGGCGAGAUUCAAAUAUCACGCGGAAUCGACUUUUUCUCACUCUCCGCGCCCCCAGCACAUAGACACGAUUGCUUGCUUGUCUGUCAUCUCAUACACAUCUCAAAUACUUACAACUUUUAACAAUGGAUCUCUUGGCUCUU